Dalotia coriaria is the source of this 2515-nucleotide long non-coding RNA. RefSeq lists it as uncharacterized. The transcript has 3 exons. Lineage: Eukaryota; Metazoa; Arthropoda; Insecta; Coleoptera; Staphylinidae. The record is from RefSeq and is a predicted model, not a curated record.
UCCAAUCAGCACAGGCUGCAAGCGCCAUCGGCGCACACCACUUCAUUCGAGUCUAGUUGAUCGUCCAUCGUUGUCUUUCGCGCUCCUGUCGAAUCGCCACUAUGUUUCUUGUGAAUUUCAUAUGGUUAAUCGCGCUACUGCAAGCUUCUUUUUAGUUGGUAUUUGUUAUUGAUCUGAAUUCCGAGCAUGUUUAUUCGCUUCUUUCGUACUAGAAUUAUUGAUUCAUCUCAACGCGCUUAUCGAUGUUUGUGUUGUGAACUCUCCGCUCGCCAAUACCCUGUUACAUUUGAUCCAACAUCGACGACUUCGUGUGGCAUGAUUUCUACCUCGCCAUUGUUCUACUGUAUUUGCCGUGCCUUGGAGUCUGAUGAAUUCUACAUUGGUUUAACGUUUUAACGAGACCUUACGGAUAUAUUGGACCAGCUGUGAACGCACGCUUCUUCCAGAAGGAUUUGAUAGAAAAUGGUAAUUUCCGGUAAAGCAAGAAACAUCUUUAAGAGCCCCCGCACACUACAAACUUUUUAUCGGCCGAUAUUUUGAUCGGGUUGGGCUGUGAGCGCGCACACUACGCCAACUAAACAGUUGGGUUUGUGGUGAGUGCGCACACUAGACAACAGUCGGCCGACUGCACCAAUACUCUGAGCGAACUAAAUUGAUCAAGUCGGCCGACUAAACAAUCGGUAGGUGUGCGCGCUUGCGACGAGCUCCAUACUGAUAUCGCAGUCGGCCGAUAGUUGGCCUGGUUGGCCGAUAGUUUAGUUUGAACGCAGUUGGGUAGCCCAUCAAACUUGUUUAUCGGCCGAUACAAAAUCGUUGUACUAUGCGGACUUGCAUACAUCUUCAUACUGAUUAUAAGCCCGACCAAACUAUCGGCCGAUAAAAAGUUUGUAGUGUGCGGGGAGCCUAAGCCCGACCAAACUAUCAGCCGAUAAAAAGUUUGUAGUAUGCGGGGGCUCUAAGCCCCGAUUGGCUAACGCAAUCGACACAAUUAUACAUAAAAUAUAAUACCUAAAACAUAAAUAAAUAAAGUUUUACAUUUGUUUUUAUUAAAAUAAUGGUAUAAUUUAAAUAAUUAUUUAUUUCAAUUUUCGAUGUAUAGCGUUAUAAAUGUAUCACUGUAGUACUGAAAUGGAAAUAGGUGGUAUUUUACUGUCCUACAUACAGUGUGAGUAGCCUUUACAAAAACACUAAUUAUUUAAUUAACUAAGGUAGGUAUACAGUAAACUUUUACGAAGACUCAAUCUUAUUACUUCCCAAAGCCUUUCUUUUCGUAUGCCGAGAAUAUUGAAAGCAAUUUCAGGUAUGUGUAUUUCAACAUUGUGAAUUUUUAGUUUCGUCUUCUCAACUUCGUGUUUAUCAGUACGUUUGUAUAUAAACAACUUUUUUUGUUCGACGGACUGACUCGUGAUAUCGCUGCAUACCUGCCUAGUACCGGGCUACGCGCAGCGCACACGGCAGUUGUUUCACCGCGUGGUCCGCGAGCGUAUCUCUCUAAUCGCCACGCGUUUUGAGGUUUUAAUUGGAUUAAUCGUCGUGUAUUCUUUCGGCCAUCGGCAAUAUAUUCACAAUGGGCAUGUGUGCCUGUUUCGUUUAAUGAUUUAUGGCGGUUAGAGUCUUCUUAAGUUAGAAAUAAGUGUCCGUUAAUCCCCGCGCGAGUUUUCUGUUGAUAGAAUAUAUUAAAGGAUAGAAAAUCUCCUCAUCAAUGCACAGGUGAGUGGAUAAUUAAUUUUUUUUGCGGAAAGUUAAGGCGGUUUAACUUAAAUUGACAUGCUUGAUUUAAUUAUUAUAAGCACUGUUUUUAAAAUUCAUAUGGUCGAUCACGCUUACCGGUCAUGUUUUCGAUGAUCACGUAAACAUUUUUAAUCGCAUUGCAUCAUUAAACUAAUAAUUUCUUGCUGAAAUAAAAUCUUGAACGGUGAAUAGUUUUUCGUUUUCGCAGUCUCAGUAUAUCUUAAUAUUCAUAAAGAAAUGGUUAUUUUUAUCGUCUUUAACCACUGUGUUGCUCCGCGCCGUCGCUUGCCGUCUGUUGAUUUAGGUAUUAUCCACCAGAUAUUCUAUCAAUUUAUAAUGAUGCUUCACCCGUCGGCUACGUUAUACAGUUGAUGCUACCAUCAAUUAAUAAAUAUACAUUUAGAAUAUAUUAAAAUGUAAGUGUUUUAUUUUUGUAGCACCCUCAAUUUUUCGAUGUUUUUCGGGUAAAAUCUCUGAUUUUAUAUGAAAAUAUUGUUGUUAAUUGGUAAAUUUCCCUCUUCAUAUUGUGAAUAUUGACUCCCUAAAAUUUUCUUUUUGUAACACCCUGUAUAUUAGUUUUCCUUUGUGUCCGUGAAAAUUUUGCUGUCGUUUUUAUAAAUUUUCCCGUUUGCCCUUUGCAUUUUCUUUCUGGUACACCCUGUAUACUAGUUUCCCUGACCGUCGAGUGAAAACGAGCGGCGUUUGUAGUGUUGUAUUUUUGUUUGCACUUUAAAUUUACAAUUUGUAACACCCUGUAUAUUUGUUUGCAUUUUCAAUUACCUAG